Long non-coding RNA from Leptidea sinapis, 2173 nucleotides. RefSeq lists it as uncharacterized. NCBI's taxonomy places the organism in Eukaryota, Metazoa, Arthropoda, Insecta, Lepidoptera, Pieridae. The record is from RefSeq and is a predicted model, not a curated record. The transcript is spliced from 4 exons.
GGGUGCUUGAGAUGGAAACUGGAAUGUCAGAAAAAAAAUUCUCAAAAGCAGAAGCUACUUCCUGCUCAGAGUGGAUUUUUGUAUUGUUUAUUAUUAGAUUAUAUUCAAACUUGCAGUCUUUCGCUCUUCCAGAUUAGUUAAUAACUUUCCAAGUCAUUUUUAUUUUAUUUGAAGCAUUUUUAAUUAUUUCUCUAAUAUGCAUUGACUUAGCAAUAGUACAUACUUUCUUAAAUAAUUUCGAAUAAUUUUUCACAUAUACAAGGAAAGAUGCGUCAUGAUUACAUGAUGAUCUCUCACUAUAUAGUUCAUAUAACCGUUGUCUGCUCCUAUGAAUACCAGCUGUUGCCCAGUUGUUAAAUGACAAGAGACCACCCAAGUUGACUGUCUUUGAAGUAAAUAUAGAAGCAAACUCUGUUUUAAUUAUUUUAAAUAACUUACCAUACAUCUCAUUUGGAGUACUGUUAUAAUUCAAAUACAAGUUUGAGAGUUUUUCUGAAACAUUGCCUCUAUAUUUCUCCAUUCGCCUAUUGUUUACCGGAACAAACAUAAACUUUUUAGUUGAAGUACAUUUGUUCCCUUCAAUAUUAAAAGAGGCUAAUUGACCAAAGUGGUCUGAGCUCAGUUUACUAAUUAUUGAUUGAGAAAUAGGUAUAUAAUUAGUAAAAAUAUUAACAAUACAGCUUUUAGAGGUGCUGGUUACUCUAGUAGGUUCUAAGAAAAUAUUUGAUAAAUUAUAUGAUUUAAACAAAGAUUUGAAUCUAAUACUUGUGUUGGAUUUUUCUAAUAAGUUAAUAUUAAAGUCACCACAAAUCAUAAUAUAUUUCUUAGAUUCUGAUAAUUUUGAUAGAACCUCCUCCAAUACACUCAAAUAACUCAUAUAAUGCAUCGGGGGGUCUGUAUAUACUUACAACAAGGGCACACUCAAGCUCUGCACAGGCUAUUUCAAUCAUGAAUAGACAACCAAGUCAUCGGCAAAUUGGAGAUUUUUGACUUCUGAACCCAAAAUCAGAUUUAAACGUCGGAUAUACAAGAUAAAAAUUAAUGGAGAGAGUAUCCCUCCUUGGCAAACUCCAACAGAUGCAAACCUUGGACCCUAUAAUUGACUCCAUUUUAUGAAUCCAGUUUAUUAUUUUGUUUGGAAUUCCAACAUAAAGCAAUUCAGAGCAAAGUAUAUCUAUAUUCACACUAUUAAAAGCACUAGCAACAUCAAAGAAGACAGACAUCAAAAAAUUCUUAUUAAUUAGACUAUUUUGGAUAUCAAGCUGUAACUGACAGAUACUUUCACCAGCCGAUGUUCCUCUUCGAAAACCAAAUUGAUUAGCAGGUAAAAUACCAUUUUGUUCUACAUAAAAUUCCAAUCUUUGUUUUAUUAGUUGCUCAAAAAUUUUUGCCAACACAUGAUGUUAAUGCAAUAGGACGAUAAGAAUCUGGAUUUGACCGAGUUUUAUCUGGUUUUAUUUAUGGUAUAUGGGUAUAUAGACAAUUAGAUUUCCAUGAAUGGGGUAUAUCAUUGUUUAACCACAGAUUAUUUAAUAUUUCAUGAAAAAAGUGUAACCCCUUUUUGCUAAUCUUUUUCAACAUAAUGUAAGGAAUACCAUCAAGACCAAAAGCACAAAUCAAAAGCUAUUUACAGAAUUUGUAUUACUGACAGAGGAAAAAAUUGAAAUAUUAUGUACAUAGUCAUUCUUGACAGAGGAGUACACCUGUUAAAGGAAUUACACAAUUCAACCCAACUAUUCAAUCUCUCUGUUUUCAAACUAAGUUUUUUAAGAGCUUGUAAUCUUUUAAACUCUAUAAAUAUUUCAUCUAAUGGAUUAUUCUUAAAAUUAAGGAAGAUGAUAGCUGCCAAGUGAAUCGUUACCACAGACCAAUCACACAAUAGAGCCAAUGAUGGAGAAACCAAAGUUAAAUCAAGAGCAUUUGGAUGCCAUGACAAAGAACCACCUGUAAUCACUUCACCGCUAUUAAGUAAAACCAGAUUAUUAUCAUCAACAAUCUCCAAAAUAUCUCUACCUCUUGAAUUAACAGAAUUACAUCCCCAUGACGUGUGAUGAGCAUUGAAGUCACCAGCAAAUAUCAUGGGUUCAGGCACUGAUUCUAAUAAAGAUUGGAAUUUAUGUUUAUCAAAGGAUGGUGUACAAUUUGUAGGACAAUAAAAACUAACAAUACUUAA